GAGGGUGGACUUUCUCCUAGUAGGCAGGUUUACAAUGCAGUCUCUACUACUUACAACUGUCUAGCUGAUAGUAAAUAGGCAAUUUAUGGUAAAGAAACCAGCUUCCAUCAUAAUUGUCUUGGUACCAGAAACUUCCUUGGAAAUCUGCUGAUGCUUGCUGCUGCCUGGGUUUGACCUGUUUGUGAGCAAGCUCUUGUGAUCUAAGGGUUGCUGCAGUAGAAACAAAUGAUAGUUGGAGCCUUGGACUUCAUUUGUGAGAGCAGUGAAGAGUGUGGGUGUGCAGUGCUGCUGCAAGGACCCCAAACCAUCUACUGCCAUCCCCUCCCUCUGGUCCUGGUGGGCACCUUGGAAACUCUUUGCAACCAGUUUUUCUGGGAGUUGGGGAGGAAGAGUCUGUGGUUCUGCAGAUCUGCUCCUGGACUUCCUUUAAUACAUUGUUAAAAAGGAAAAGGAUUCAUUCUUCUGGAGCCUGAAAGGGCUUAUGUACAUUGUGUAUUAAAAUGCUGCAAUGUGUUUUAUUCAUAAUACUAAUCUGGAGAGGAGGUGCUUUGUAUUUGAUAGCCUUUAUAAAUAUAUACGGCAUACCUAAGUGUUUGUGCAAGAAUGUUAGAAACAGUCAUACUUACCUGAUCACUAACUGUGGCAUGACAGAUGUCUAAUACUUGGACUUGUUAACCCAAAGUAUUUCACUGUCAUUUUUUGUGCAUGAAUAUGUAAAUUUUUGCCAUUUUUUUCAGAUAUAAGUGGACACUUCAUCAUGAUUGUAAUAUGAACAGAUAUUUGUUUUUAAAUGUUGUGGAAAAGGGGUUGAUUCAGCAUGUACAUACUGAAAUUGUAUGUAAGAUUUAUCUAUGUGGUCUAGGAAUACCGUUGCUUUGUUUGGCCCUGUUCCAAAUAUUCCAAACUUCAGUGUGUUUAAAUCCAAGGGUGAUGAUAAAAUGAAGACCAAUAUGCUUAGCUGUAUUAUCAGAG
This is a long non-coding RNA of Pezoporus occidentalis (night parrot), 972 nucleotides long. RefSeq lists it as uncharacterized. Lineage: Eukaryota; Metazoa; Chordata; Aves; Psittaciformes; Psittacidae. The transcript is spliced from 5 exons. The record is from RefSeq and is a predicted model, not a curated record.